AUACGGAGGGGGCAAGCGUUGUUCGGAAUUAUUGGGCGUAAAGCGUAUGUAGGCGGCCGAGUAAGUCAAGCGUGUAAGCCCGUGGCUCAACCACGGAAUUGCGUUUGAAACUACCCGGCUUGAGUACAGGAGAGGAAAGCGGAAUUCCCAGUGUAGCGGUGAAAUGCAUUGAUAUUGGGAAGAACAUCUGUGGCGAAGGCGGCUUUCUGGUCUGUUACUGACGCUGAGAUACGAAAGCCAGGGGAGCGAACGGGAUUAGAAACCCCGGUAGUCC
This 274-nucleotide ribosomal RNA is filed under the name uncultured bacterium. Its description in RNAcentral is "partial 16S ribosomal RNA". It matches the Rfam family "Bacterial small subunit ribosomal RNA", at positions 523 to 796 of the family's 1533-position model. The record is from RNAcentral.